CCUACGGGAGGCAGCAGUGGGGAGUAUUGCACAAUGGGGGAAACCCUGAUGCAGCGACGCCGCGUGAGCGAUGAAGUAUUUCGGUAUGUAAAGCUCUAUCAGCAGGGAAGAAAAUGACGGUACCUGACUAAGAAGCCCCGGCUAACUACGGGCCAGCAGCCGCGGGAAUACGUAGGGGGCAAGCGUUAUCCGGAUUUACUGGGUGUAAAGGGAGCGUAGACGGUCCUGCAAGCCAGAUGUGAAAGCCCGGGGCUCAACCCCGGGACUGCAUUUGGAACUGUAAGGCUUGAGUGUCGGAGAGGCAGGCGGAAUUCCUAGUGUAGCGGUGAAAUGCGUAGAUAUUAGGAGGAACACCAGUGGCGAAGGCGGCCUGCUGGACGAUGACUGACGUUGAGGCUCGAAAGCGUGGGGAGCAAACAGGAUUAGAUACCCUGGUAGUC
RNAcentral lists this ribosomal RNA (440 nucleotides) under uncultured bacterium. RNAcentral describes it as "partial 16S ribosomal RNA". It matches the Rfam family "Bacterial small subunit ribosomal RNA", at positions 338 to 795 of the family's 1533-position model. The record is from RNAcentral.